This 72-nucleotide transfer RNA is filed under the name Camelus ferus (Wild Bactrian camel). It matches the Rfam family "tRNA". From Rfam's summary of the family: Transfer RNA (tRNA) molecules are approximately 80 nucleotides in length. Their secondary structure includes four short double-helical elements and three loops (D, anti-codon, and T loops). Lineage: Eukaryota; Metazoa; Chordata; Mammalia; Artiodactyla; Camelidae. The record is from Rfam by way of RNAcentral.
AGGGGUAUAGCUCAGUGGUAGAGUGCACGCUUAGCAUGCACAAGGUCCUGGGUUCAAUCCCCAGUACCUCUU